RNAcentral lists this unclassified non-coding RNA (239 nucleotides) under Glomeraceae sp. RNAcentral describes it as "partial contains 5.8S ribosomal RNA and internal transcribed spacer 2". The stretch from base 1 to 71 matches the Rfam family "5.8S ribosomal RNA", at positions 84 to 154 of the family's 154-position model. The record is from RNAcentral. Lineage: Eukaryota; Fungi; Glomeromycota; Glomeromycetes; Glomerales; Glomeraceae.
GUGAAUCAUCGAAUUUUUGAACGCAAAUUGCACUCUCUGGCAUUCCGGAGAGCAUGCCUGUUUGAGGGUCAGUUUAAAUAAAAAUCGAGGUGUUGCUGUUUUGUGACCCAUCGGAAUUGGGUUAUCUUUGACCUUUUAUAAAGUUUAAGUGACCUAAAAUUGAUACCUUGUGCAUCUCAGACGUACAUAAGAAUAUUUUUUAUUCGGCCGGGGGUGCCAAAUUUUUUUUUGGGUUUGCC